CGGCACGGGUGAGUAACACGUAUCCAACCUGCCGUCUACUCUUGGACAGCCUUCUGAAAGGAAGAUUAAUACAAGAUGGCAUCAUGAGUCCGCAUGUUCACAUGAUUAACGGUAUUCCAGUAGACGAUGGGGAUGCGUUCCAUUAGAUAGUAGGCGGGGUAACGGCCCACCUAGUCUUCGAUGGGUAGGGGUUCUGAGAGGAAGGUCCCCCACAUUGGAACUGAGACACGGUCCAA
This 236-nucleotide ribosomal RNA is filed under the name uncultured bacterium. RNAcentral describes it as "partial 16S ribosomal RNA". It matches the Rfam family "Bacterial small subunit ribosomal RNA", at positions 100 to 334 of the family's 1533-position model. The record is from RNAcentral.